AUAUGCAAGGAGUGUCUUGGCAUGUUCUGUGAGAUAGAACCCAGUAUUCCUUUUCCCACUAAUAAUCUCUAGCAAGAUUACACCAAAGCUGAAGACAUCAGAUUUGACAGAGAAUAGACCCUCCAUUGCAUACUCUGGAGCCAUAUAACCACUGUUUCAAGAAUCGAGUAUAAGCAUUAGCAUGUUCUAAAGAUAAAUAUGGGAGCUGUAAGAAGCAAACUCACAGUGUUCCUACAACUCUUUUAGUGUUAGCUGUGUUCUGGCUGUCACAAAAUAUCCUUGCCAUGCCAAAGUCUGAUAUUUUGGCAACCAUUUCAUAGUCCAACAGUACGUUGCUAGGCUUUAAAUCCCUGUGAAUGAUUUUAAGCCGCGAGUCCUCGUGAAGAUACAAAAGCCCUCUAGCAAUGCCUUCAAUAAUGUUGUAAUAAAUUUUCCAAUUGAGUUCUGCUCGUCUUUCCAAAUCUGAAAAUUUAGUACAAUUUAUCAUGUGAAGUGUCCGUAUGAUGUAUAAAUGUAUAAGUAAAAGAACAUUAUAGCAGAAGAGUAAGAUGAACAAACCAAAGAUAAAAACAUCAAGGCUUUUAUUUGGCAUGAACUCGUACAAAAGCAGCUUUUCCUCUCCCUCAAAGCUGCAUGCCAAGAGCCGCACCAGGUUUUUGUGUUGAAGUUUUGCAAUGGUUACCACCUCAUUUUUGAACUCCUCUAAGCCUUGCCAUGACUUCUUCGACAGUCUUUUGACGGCAACUUCUUUCCCAUCUGGUAGCAAACCCUGAAAGAAUAUUGACAAAAUCAGAUGACGACAUUCAUUUUUCGGCCUAUAAUUGAAUCAGUACUAUAAUUAAGCCUACGUAGAAACAUAAUACAUAGUAUCAUUACCUUGUAAACAGUACCAAACCCACCUUGUCCAAGCUUGUUUAAAUCCGAAAAGUCAUUCGUAGCUAUCUUUAUAGUAGCUAGAUCCAUGAAGGCCAGCUCUUCAGAAAUUAUGAACAUCCCUUCUUCUGUGAUUGUGACUCCAGUGGGGCUUGCCAAAUCUUGUAAUAGUACUUGCUCGCUUUUUUCUUCAUCUGCAAAAAAAAACAUCACAAGUAAAUCUUACAAGGUAAUCCUCAAAAUUCAGAAUAAUUUUUUAGUUUUGAUAGAUGUACCUUUGACAUCCUCUGAUCCCUUUUUGCGCCGGAGACGGACAGUACAAAAUACAAUGGCUGCUAACAGUAUGAUGGAUGCAGAUACAAGUAUAACCACCUUCCAAUUCUUCCAUCUAUCCGCUGCUUUUUAAUAGAAAGAAUUUCCUUGAGCCACAAUGUGCAUGCAGUGCACAGAUAAUUAAUUCACAAAAGAAAACUUUCAAGCCACUAACCUUUGGACUGUGGAUAGAUUAACAAAGAAUUUGACGAGUCGUUAAAAAAGGGGAACAGUUCAAAUCUCACAUUGCAAUUCCUACUGACAACAGUUCCACCUUGUUGAGAAGAGCAACAUCCCAAAAGAUCUGUGAGAGCAGAAUUCAAACAGCUAUGGCAGUCACUUGCAGAAAUGUCUCUAGUGCACUGCUGUAAGCCAUAAAUUGUAUCCUUUCCCGAAAAUUUAAUUUUCCCAGUUGCAAACAUAUGCUUAGAAGGACUAAACGCAGCUGCUCCAGAGAGGUUUAUCAUUAAAUAGGUCAAUACAUCAUUGAAAUGGUGUGGAUUUGAUACGUUCUUCUCCUGACUAUCCUUGUCCAGAUACUUUCCAGUGUAAACCAUUAGUUGAAAGAACAUCUGGUAAGAAUAUCGAACUUGACAUAGCUCGUACCAAAUCAUUGCAUCUGUUUUAUUGCAACUCUUGAAGAUUUCCUGCCUUGCUUCAUCGACACAGUUUUGGCAAACCGUGGAGUUGACAUCCCAUCUACAAAGUGCUUGUCCAUAGACUAUGUCAAGUCCAUCUCCUACCGUAUCGUUGUAGAAACCUCCUGCGAUGGAAGUGUUGGAAGAUAAUGACUCAAGUAGCCGCUCGAGAUUGCUUUCAAAUUGGCUAUUUCUGACAUCAGCUAAACAAAAAUUUGAUAGGGGAUCUGUAGCAGAAAGGGCAGCUGGCAUCAACAGCGAAAUAAUUGCAAAAAGCAUUACAGGAAGUUUAUCUUUAUCCAUUUUCUAGAAAGGGUUCACAGUGAACACAGAAUUAGGACAAUGGCAAGAAACACUUGGAUGAUUUAUUUGGAUGACUUUUCAGUUUUGACAUCGAAGUUCCUGCUACUAGUUUUCAUCUGGUUAACCGUUGAUUACACCACAGAAACUUUGAUCCUUGCUGAUCAAAGACGCAAGCCGGCUGAAUAAAGCCAUGACCUGCAGGUUGAUAGAGACCAAGAAUAGCAUAUGGUAUUCAAAUGAUUUGAUUAAUUGUUGAUUAAUUAAUCAAAGACUUUGCAGAUUAGUCACAUAUAAGGCAUGCUUAAAAUACUUGAUCAAAAUGUGAUUAUCUUAGAGUUCAUGUAUCUAGAGUAGUGUAAGUCUAACUAUUUGUUUGACCAUUCUACUUGAAGGGGCCAGCCAUGGAAUUACUAGUAGUUUAGUAAAAAGUGUUUUGACUGUAGCAUAGCAUUUGGCAGAAAAAAAUUGGAGGUGAGUGUAACGACGUGAUGAGUGCUAUAGGAAGAUAGGAUAUAAUCACGUGAAUUGGACCUGUAGAAAUUGAAAUAUAUCCAAGUGAUCUUAUUGGAUAUGAAAUUUCCUUGAGGUGACAUCAAAUUAACAACAGCAUGUGUUUUAGUGUUUAUGCAGGCUCUAUUUUGAUCGUCUGUUAUAUAAUCCGACAGUGAAGUUUAACCUCUAGCAGGUUGCAUCCGGUUGAAGUAUCGACUUGAUUUUAUCACCGAGGCUUCCUUGCUGAUCGAAGAUUCAACGAUAUGCAAGCUGGCUGAACAAAGUCAUGCUGCAGGGUGGAUUGAGACCAAGGAUAUUGCAUUGAUCAAAGACUUUGCAACUUGAUCAAAUGUAAUUAAGUCACGCUUACAGCACUUGAUUAAAGUGUGAUUAUUUAAGGAUUGGCUAAACAAGUUGUGUCUCUUUAUUUAACUAUUUGUUUGACCACUCAAAUUCUCAUGGGUGACUUGGACAUGUAGAAACCUCAGAUUAAGCAGCCACUGGUUUUAGACUUUUAGUCAUUAAUUAAUUACUAAUUUUGUGUGUCAUGUUGGCUAUUUUUUAACCUGAAUAUACUUGCAACCAUCUUAACAGUGAAUUCAAAUCAGUGAGCAUUACUGAUGAUAUCAUAGCUUUAGACUUUAGUGUCUAGUUGUGCUAAAUCUAGCUUUAAUUUGCUGCUAUCGUAAUACGUCAUAAUGAUUAUCACAGAUUAGUAACGAGUUAUCAGUGCCAUUUCCAGGUGGGUUCGGAUAGAGGUUGACAAACAAAUGCAAUUUAAAAAUAAAUAAAAAAUUUUGAAUGAAGUCAAAUUCCAUGAAUCGAAUCCAUUAGAACGAUUAAAAAUAAAUAAAAACCAUCAAUUUCUCAUUAGAAAUGAGGGCGGGUCUUAGUACAACAGAAAUGUUGCUCUUUUGUGACCGAAAGAUCACGGGUUCGGACCGUGAAAACAGUCUCUUUGUAAAACAAGAGUAAGGCUGCGUAUGCUAGAUGAUUCUCUCCCGACCCUGGCAAAGCGGGAAGCCUUGUUGGCUUGGUGUCCCCAUUUUAAUUCUCAUUAGAAAUGAAUAAACCAGUUGUUCUUAGCAACUUGUAUCACCUGAACUGCCAGUAUUCUGUAUUUAUUAAUAAUAUACACAUAACAGAACUAAGAAAAACUUUGUGCUAUCGAGAACAUGGGUAGAAAUUCAUGACCAAAAACACCAUAGGAAAGUUUCAACUUUGUACAGAUUCAUGAAUCUUAUGGUGUUAUCGCGGCAUGACGUUAGAAACUGUUAGGCCAUUAAUAGAACUAUUACCAGCGGCUGUCUCAGUAUAAUGAUCAGUGAAUCUUCCCGUGGUGAAAGCAGGUUUCUCGGGUUGGCUAAGAGUUACAGUUUCACUUUUCAACAUUACAACAGCAGAAGACAUGGUUGGCCUGUCAUACGCAUCUUCCUGGACACACAACAAUCCGAUAUGGAGAUAUCUUAGAAACUCAUCUGGAUCACAUGAAUCGAGUAGUAGUGGGUCGAGUAGCUCCAACCCUUUUCCGUCAUGCCAUAAUUUCCAUGCCUGCAUCAUAAUCAAUUGGACAAGCAUUAAGCUGCUGUUUAAUUGCAAAGAGUCUUGCUCUGAGAGAAGUGCAUAAAGUAACUUACAUAUGUUACAAGGCUAGGAACACGUUUUAUUGGAUGAAAGCUGGCGUUCCUUCUCCCAGUUAUGAUCUCAAGCAAUAGUACUCCGAAACCAUAAACAUCAGACUUGACGGAAUAUACUCCCUCCAUUGCAUAUUCUGGAGCCAUGUAUCCGCUAUUCCAAUACCAAAAUCCAGAACAAAAUGUUGAGUACCGUAAGUUUCCCUUUAAUGGAAAAGAAAAUUUAGACAAGAAGCACUUACUAAGUCCCAACUAUUGUAGUCGUAUUUGCUUGGCCUUCACUUCCUGCAAAGAUCCUUGCCAUGCCAAAGUCGGAGAUCUUAGGGUUCAUGUCACUGUCCAAUAAAACAUUGCUAGCUUUCAGGUCCCUAUGGAUGAUUUGAAGUCGAGAGUCCUCGUGUAAAUAAAGAAUUCCCCGUGCAAUUCCACUUAUAAUGUUUACACGUCUGCUCCAAUCAAGUUGCACUCGUUUCUCUGAAUCUAAGCAUCAUUGGAGGAGAACUUACAGACUAAAAGAUUUCUGAGAAUAAAAUCUUAGCCAUAGUAUAAAACAGUUGAAUCUAGAUCCCAAAUACAGAAAUUUUCGAGAGAUCAUAAGAGAAAACAUACCAAAGAGGAAGACAUUUAGGCUGCUGUUUGGCAGGUAUUCAUAGACAAGCAGUUUUUCCUCUCCCUCAACACAAAAACCCAAAAGCCGAACAAGAUUUUUAUGUUGAAGUUUCAUUAUCAGCAGAACUUCAUUUGUGAAUUCCUCCGUGCCUUGCUCAGAACAGCUUGAAAGCCUCUUGAUUGCCACUUCUUUUCCGUCACUGAGUACACCCUGCAAAAUACCAGAUUUUAAAUCAAGCCACUGAAAUACUAACCAAGCGGAAGAUAGUAAUACAAAUAAAUCUUCGUAUGUGAACUUUUUGUCCCUAGUUUUGUUAAAGAAACAGUUUGCUUUUACUUUUUACCUUGUAAACAGGCCCAAAACCACCUUCUCCAAGCUUAUUUGAAUCAGAGAAUUUAUCCGUAGCUGCAUGUAUAGAUGCCAAACUGAUAUAGGGGUACUCCUCAGCUUUCGGGUUUCUGCCUUGAAAACGUUGUUCCGGGAACAAUACAUGUUGUCUUAAAAUCUCACUACUCACUGAACAGAUCGAAAGAAAAGCUGCUUUCAGAAAACAUAUUAGAGUGAUGAUCAGCUCUAAAAUAAGCAUUUCCGAACGCAUUAUUUUACCCUUUUUGUUUCUUUUUCUCAUUGCAAGAUAGACACAGGAACCCAUAAGUAGUAUGGCUAGACAUGCUGACGCAAUCGUAAGGAUCGUGAUCCACCAUCCUCUACCUUCAUUUGGAAACAACCAAGCCUUCGCAGUUAAUUUAUAACAUUGUAACGUCGAAAUUGAUACACAAUUUUAAAAGUACUCACCGUCCCCUUUGUUGUUAUUCGGAGAGCUAGAAAUAGAAGCUUGAGUUGCACCAUUAUAGAAGGCAUACAAUUCGUACCUCAGAUAGCAACUCCGGCUCAGAAGCCGUGCACCAAUGGAGAAAUAAAACUCUCUCAAAACGUCUUCUAUGGCGCGCUGAAGGCAUUUAUCACAGUCAUCUCCAGAUAAGUCUCUAGUGCACUGCACAAGAGCAUAUAUCACUUUAUCUUCAAAUGGUACAUCUCCAGUAGCAUACAUUUUCGCUGAAACAUUAUAUGCCGCUCGCUUCGCAAGCUCACUCAGCUUCUCCUUCACGGUAUACUCAAACUUUUUUGGCUCUGAAACGUUUUCCUUGUUAGCCAAUGGAAUGUUGCCUCCCAUAUUCAAUUCACCAUAGAACUUCAUAUCGGAGUAGCGCAGUUGGCACGUCUCCUCCCACACAACUGAUUCUGUUGAGUUGGGACAAAUCCUCACAAUGUCUAAAUGCGCGGUGUUGAUGCAGUUGUGACAUGUCUCAUUCGUAACAUAAUCGAGGCACAUAUAAAGGCCAUAAACUCUAUCUGGUUCAUUUCCAACGGAGGUAUUGUACAGCUUGGAAACAGAAGCAUUCGAAGGCAAUGAAUUGAGCAGGCUCUGAAGGUUUUUCUGAAACGUACUAUUUUCGACAUAACCGCGAACAUCUGAGCACAACUUGUAUGGAGGAUCAGCAUAAGCAAGAUCAAAAAGGAAGGUGAUGAGAUAACAAAGCAAAAAAAGAGAGAUUGUUUUCGGAACACAAGGGAAAUUAGCCAUGUUUUGAUCUCUAAUCAUAGAAAAAGAUUAGGGAAACUUUUAUAUAUAGCUUUGAAGUCUUCUCCUUCCUGCUCGAAAUAUGGUUAAAAAUCUCGGAGUACGAGCACCAUUGAAUUUUUGUGAAUUGAUAGGUAGUUUCUUGGAAGACUUGUUUAAUUAAAUUAGUUAUCAUCACAUCAGUACAAAUUCUAAGAAAACAAAGACUUCGACUGGCUGUAUUUUCCAGGAAAUUUUUCACAGUUGGUCAUGGUUUUGUUUGUAAUUCAGUCAAUGUCACACCACAAGUUGAAAGAUAUAUUAACUCAAAACUAAUAGAUAACGACAGAGACUUCCACAAACCAUCAAAUAAUAUAAUAGUCACACAUGUUUUGCGGUGGUUUACUUAUUUUUAUAUAUACAUGCGAGAUUAGCAUGUUCAGUAGGUCACACAAUUAGAAUUAAACUUCAUUGCCUAGCCUACUCUCCAUGUAUGCAUGCCUGAUUUUCAGACAAAUCUAUUUGAAAUUAUUAGUUUCAUUUUCAUCCAAUUUUGUCAUUAAAAAUAAAACAAUUAAAAUUUCAGAAAAGUUGGUAACUUACAUUCAUGGUCUAAAAUAUCCAUAAUAUCCCGAUAUUUCCAUCGAAAUUUCCAUGUUUUUUUACUACCGAUAUUUCCGAUAUCAUCGAUAUUUUAGACCUUGCUAAGUCACUCAUGUAUCUUACCAUGCAAUGUAUAAGAUGUAAAAUAUUAUACUAAUUCAUUAUAUAUAAAUGAUUAUGGUGUGUUUAAACUUCUUUCAUUAAUUACUACAUAUUUUCUACACUCACAAUGUUUGCCAGCUCGCUAUAUAAUCAACUUAAAUUAGUUAUAUCUAUCAUGCAAUGCAUUCCUUCUAAUUUUUUGUGAUAAACUAGCAGAUAAUUGACUAAAUAAACAUCCUGCAAAGUUUCUGUUGAUGCACAAAAUCAGCGAAGACUUUGGUACAACAGAAAGUGUCAGGUUUUAUGACCUUCGCUUGGUUGCUUCGGUCACUAGUGAGGAUAAGUACGUAAAUGAACAGAGACAGAGAAGCAAACACAGGAUGUACGUGGUUCACCCAGAUUGGCUACGUCCACGGAGUAGAGGAGUUCUUAUUAGUAGUGAAAGGCUUACACAAGUACAAAGGAUCAAGCUCUCAAUUUAGAGUUCUUGUGAAUGAUUUAACACAAAUGGCAUUAGGCCAUAUUGUGGGAGAAUGACCCCUAUUUAUAGAAAAACUUGUAGCUUUGUCACAUUGACAUGUGUCAUAUUAUGAUUGGUUCUUGAUGUUGACACGUGCUGCGCUCUGAUUGGCUUCUAAUCUUGACACGUGUCGAGUAGUGAUUGGCCUCCUGGUCGGAGGGGAACUCUUCUGGGUCCUUGACAGUAUAGCGUUGGCCGGUGCUCGGUAGUUUCGGGAUUGGUCAAGUAUGGUACAAACAGUGCUCCCCUAAGUUCCCGAGUGAGGGAAACUCCUCGGUUGGGGACUUGCAAGAUCUAAUCCCUUGAGUAAUCACGAAACUUCUAAGUACCGAAGUGUGGUCUGAUCUUCAUCUGCCCUUCUCUGGAAGUACCUUUCCUCCAUCCGGGAAUGGUGUAUUUAGCUGAUGUGUUGACGCACAAGGUAAUGUAUCAAUUUCACUUGAAGCUUAGUUGUAGUUUCGGGCUUAGUAAGUGUCAUACAAACCCUAUAGUAGGAGUCCCCCAAGUCGCCGAGCUAGGAGAUCUGCCGAAAGAGGUGACAGACAAGGUAAGCAGUCAAACUUCCAAGUAAGCAACCCAGGAUCAGAGGUUUGACUUCGGCUUCCGGUUGAUUGUUCUCAUUCUCCUUGUCUCUCAUUCAACUGCCAGGAUAAGGAGAAGCAAAUGGAUAAGAGAUGAUAUGAGAUACUUUUGCUUUUUUGAAGAAGUAACUUUCCACAGGCUUAUUCUUGAACUGUGCUGGAGGGUUUUCUGGUGCCCUUCAGAGUAUAAGGCCGACUCAAAAAUUUGAGGGUCAAAACAAGUCCAUCAAAUCUAGAGUACGUUCGACCUUGAUGAUAUGGGAUACUUUUGCUGUUGACGGAAUAGAAUAAUGAAUGUGGUAUGGAAAGGUGUCGUGCUGUAGUGAUCUGUUUCAGCUCACCGUUGAACCUUCUGCUUCAAUCUUUUGCAUGGCAGAAGUGGUGUGCAACCUUUGCAUUUAAAUGGUCCUUCAGAACAUUCCUUCAUAGUGACUCAUCCACGCUUGGCAGCUUCAGUGUAAAGAGCCAAUAUCUGAUCAACUGUCAUGAGGUAUUUGCCGGUGGAAUUCGUGACCUUGACAGCAGUUAAGGAUGAGUACUCGAGAGCAAUGCUAAGUAAGCAACCAGGCAAAGGCUCCAGGCAGUCAGUUCCAAAUUGGAGGUUUGAUUUCAGGUUCCGACUGACUGCUCUCUUUCUCCUUGUCCUGCAGGUGUGGACAAGGACAAAGACAAAGACAGGGAGAAAGCAUGAUAUGGGAUACUCUUGCUUUCGACCCUGAUGAUAUGAGAUACUCUUGUUCUUGGUGUGGCUUAUUUGCUGAGGUAUUAUCGGGGGGGAAAUAAAGCUGAGUAUUUCGAGAGGUUAUGUUGAGGGUGCCUUUUCGAAUGCGAGAAAGGGUUGAGCAUUUUUGCAGGUUUGCCUGUCCGUUGAGGAGGGAGGUCAAUGUAUAUAGGGAUUUCCCAAUAACAAGUAGUAAUGCUAUUCCUUUACCCUUCUUGGUCACAGCAAUGUAGUGGGAGCUGCCAGCUUCACGUGUUUUAAUUUGUGUCAGAGCACUUUGAAAAAGUGGUAUGUGGUAUCUGGAAAGCUGAUAUUACGUGUGAAGAUUACAGACAAGCUUUAUCUAAGGAAAUCUGGCUCUCGAAGUUCUGAGAGUUGUGCCUCUUCGGUUUUCGAACAAGCAAUCCCGUCGAGGAUCUGACUCUCGAGAUUCGGAAAGCGGUGCUACUCCGGUUUUUUGAGAAAGUAAUUAUGUUGGGAGUCUUUUCUCGAAUGUGAGUAAAGGUUGGACGUUCUUGCCAACCUGUCUUGCCGCAAAAACACGGAGGUCGACACACAUAGGGACUUUCCAGUUGUCAAGCAGUGGUGCUGUUCCUUUACCCUUAUGGGUAAUAGUAGGGUAGCUGGAACUUCGAAAUUCUCGUGCCUAAACUUUGUCAGAGAUCUUUGACAAAGUUAUAUGUGGUACCCGAGGAGUUGAUGGUGCAUAUGGAGAGCGGUGAUUGAAUCAGUAAGAUUCACGUGCUUUCUACUUCACCAGAAAUCUUCGACAGAUUGCCCGUAAUUUCCGCAAAGCUGAUUGUGCAUGUGACAGGUGCUGACGAGGCUGAAAAAGCAGGUGCUUCUUCGAUUUCUGAGAUCGGCCCUCGUGGUCUCUGAGCAGCCCAGCUUUUGAGAAAGCAAACGCCUCUUCGAUUUCUGAGAUCGGCCCUCGUGGUCUCUGAGCAGCCCAGCUUUUGAGAAAGCAAACGCCUCUUCGAUUUCUGAAGCUCCGUCGAGUGCAGAUUUUUAUAGAGGCUGGCAUUAAGUUCCACAGCACACUUGAAUCUCUACCAGUAGAAGCUCAUUUCUUGCACUUCUAAGAUCUUGAUUUGUCUGACCUCUUCCCUCUUCAACACAUUUGAAAAUGUCUGGACCCUCCGACCGUCGUUUUGACUUGAACCUUGGAGAAGAGACAGCCACGCCUUCUCCAGACAACAUAUGGCGCCCAUCCUUCAUAUCCCCCUACUGGUCCUCUUACCGUUGGGGAUUCUGUGAUGAAGAAUGAUAUGACCGCUGCAGUGGUGGCCAGGAACCUUCUCACUCCCAAAGAUAACAGACUACUUUCCAAACGGUCUGAUGAGUUGGCUGUUAAGGACUCUCUGGCUCUUAGUGUUCAGUGUGCAGGUUCUGUGUCUAAUAUGGCCCAACGCCUAUUUGCUAGAACUAGAACCGCCAAGUUGAAUCAUUGGCUGCUGAAGUGAUGAGUCUCAAACAGGAGAUUAGAGGGCUCAAGCAUGAGAAUAAAGCAGUUGCACCGGCUCGCCCAUGACUAUGCUACAAACAUGAAGAGGAAGCUUGACCAGAUGAAGGAAUCUGAUGGUAAGGUUUUACUUGAUCAUCAGCGGUUUGUGGGUUUGUUCCAAAGGCAUUUAUUGCCUUCGUCCUCUGGGGCUGUACCUGGUAAUGAAGCUUCAAAUGAUGAACCUCCAAUGCCUCCUCCUUCUGGGGUUUUGUCAAGUACUGAGGCUCCGGAUAACCACCCUCCGGUGCUUUCUCUUUCUGGGGCUCUACCGACUGCUGAGACUUCCCCUAAGCAACCUUUGUGAAGGCUCCCUUUUGUUUUGUUUAUUUUGACUCAUGUAUAUGUACAUAUUUGUGGCUUAUCGAAAAUAUUAAUAAAUAAGCUUUGCUUCAUUUCAACAUAUUGUGUUAAAUACACCAAAGCCUUCUUCAUAAAGUUCUUUGAAUUUUUGCUUUUUGUUGAAACCUGUAUUGUUGAAGCUUUGUGAGUGAAGCAUGUAGUUUGAGGUAGUGUUCCCUUAAUUUCCCGAGUGAGGAAAACUUCUCGGUUGGAGACUUGAAAAAUCCAAGUCACUGAGUGGUUGUGAGACUGCCGAGUAUCAAGGUGCAGUAGCAUAUGGUGGGAGUCCCCCAAGUCUUCAGGCGAAGAGAGUUGCCGAAUGAGGUGUCUCGCGUGUUACUAAUUUGUCAAAGUAACGAAUUCUUGUUUCGAUGUCACACAUUCGUAUAUUUGCUUUAUCUAAAAAAUAUUUCCAACUUUUGUGUGUUUGAUGCUGCAUGCUAUUGACUAGACAAGAUCAAGUGCAAUUAGUAGCUUUUCUCUUUUUUUCAUCUUUUCUUUGGUGGAAUUGCUUUUCGUUUCCACUAAUCAGCCUGAGUGGAUGCAAGAUAACACCUUUCUCUAUAGCUCAGAUUGCAAAGUCGUCUUCAUGAAAGUUUUUCCUUAUCUUGUGAACUACAACAUAUCCAAAUUUGAGAUCCAUCGGAGUAGUACAACUUCAGAAAUUCAAGUAUGAUGAGUAACUGUUCAUCAAUGUUCUGUUAAUCCGUCAGACUUGUUGUGAGCUUCGAAACUCCAUUUUCUCUUGUUCAGAUCAACAUACUUUCUUCAUCGAAGUUGUUCCUUAACUUGUGAACUACAACAUAUCCAAAUUUGAGGUCCCUCGGAGCAGUAUAACUCCAGAAAUCCAGGUAUGAUGAGUGACUGUUUAUCAUUUGUCUGUCAACCCGUCAGAUUUGUUGUGAGCUUUGAAACUCUAUUUUCUCUUGCUCAGAUCAGCAUGCUUUCUUCAUUGAAGUUGUUCCUCAGCUUGUGAAAUACAACAUAUCCAAAUUUGAGAUCCCUCGGAGCAGUAUAACUCCAGAAAUCCAGGUAUGAUGAAUGACUGGUUAUUAUUUUUCUGUCAACCCGUCAGAUUUGUUGUGAGCUUCGAAACUCCAUUUUCUCUUGUUCAGAUCGGUAUGCUUUCUUCAUUGAAGUUGUUCCUCAGCUCGUGAACUACAACAUAUCCAAAUUUGAGAUCCCUCGGAGCAGUAUAACUCCAGAAAAUCCAGGUAUGAUGAAUGACUGGUUAUUAUUUUUCUGUCAACCCGUCAGAUUUGUUGUGAGCUUCGAAACUCCAUUUUCUCUUGUUCAGAUCGGCAUGCUUUCUUCAUUGAAGUUGUUCCUCAUCGACUCUUUCAUAACAUAUCAAAAAUUCAGGAUGAACUAACGGUUAAAUAUUUCCAGAUCUUCGAAACAUCACAACAGCUUCGAAAUCUGCAAGAAGCCGACUAUCAUGUUUGGAGCUUCAACACUUUAAUUUCCGUCGCUCAAACAGAAAUGGUUCCUUCUUGAAAGUUGUUCAUAUGCUCAAGAACUAUAGGGUGUCCAAAAUUCAGCUCCAUUGGAGAAGAGCAGAGGUUGCAGAAAUUUGAUAGAUGAAAGGAGGCGGAAGAGGGAGAGAGAGAAAAAGUCUCUUGGGUUGGAUUUCUAUUUUGGGGCAGAUUCCAAUUUUUGUAGCACCUUCAUUAUUGAUGAAUUGCUUGUACUUUUGUCCAUUAUGAAACUUGGGACUUUGGCUUGUUGUUGGAUCUAUUAUAAUAUGUUUGGGAACAUAUAUAAGUGAAUAAAUAAGAAGGAAAAUUUUGGGCCCUUGUGGGUGUAAAAACAAAAAAUGUUUAUGUUUACCCAAGUGUUUUUGUACAAGUUCAAGGGCAUCUUGGGUUUUGUGAACAAAAUUUGUUUAUUUGGAGCAAGGUUUUGUGUUGAAGCUUUGUAGGUGAAGCUUUGGUGUUGAAGCUUUCUAGGUGAAGCUUUUGAUGGUGAAGCUUUGUAGAUGAAGCUUUGUAGGUGAAGCUUUUAGGUGAAGCUUUGAUGGUGAAGCUUUUGGUGAAGCUUUUGUAGUGAAGAGCUUUCUAGGUGAAGCUUUUUAGGUGAAGCUUUUGUAGGUGAAGCUUUUUUUAAGUGAAGCUUUUCGGGUGAAGUUUUUUUUUUGUGGGUGAAGCUUUGUGGGUGAAGCUUUUUAGGUGAAGCUUUGUGGGUGAAGCUUUGGAGGUGAAGCUUUUUUCGGGUGAAGCUUUUUGGGUGAAGCUUUUUAGGUGAAGCUUUGUGGGUGAAGCUUUGGAGGUGAAGCUUUUCGGGUGAAGCUUUUUGGAUGAAGCUGUUUUUUUUUUUUUUUUUUUUUUUUUUUUUUUUUUGGCGCUUGACACGGUCUUCAUUUGCUUGUUUUGUAGUGACUGUGGAAGACGGAUUGCUUUCUGAUUGAGAAGGGUUCCGGCAUCGCUUGCUAUGAAUGUAAAAGAGUGAGGGCUGAGUUGGCUAAAUUACCUCUUUAUUGAAUUCAUUGCCAAAUGGCCUUCAUUACAUAGGAUGCCGAACGGCUAUAGCUCAACACUUGUACAUCGUGAGUCUAUUUGUAGUAGUACUUCAAGUGAUCAGCGUUCCAUGGAUGGCCAAGGGUCUUGCCAUCGGAGCUUCUAAGUGUGUAAGAGCCAGGGCGACUGAUGCCAAUGACUUCAUACGGUCCAUCCCAGUUUGGACUAAGUGUGCCUUCACUCGGGACUCUGUCGCAGAGUAAUCUUUUCUUUAAGACCCAGUCUCCUAUUUUGAAAGAACGAGGCUUGACCCUAGAGUCAUAAUAGUUGGAGAUGCGCUGCUUGUAGGCGACAUUCCUCAAGUGAGCUUGGUUUCUGUGUUCCUCGACUAAAUCCAAGUUGAGGGUGAGUUGUUUGUCAUUUUCACUUUGAAUGUAGUUCUGGACUCGGAAUGUUGCUUGCUCGAGCUCAACAGGGACAACCGCCUCUGUGCCAAAGGCAAGUGAGAAUGGAGUUUCUCCUGUUGAAGUCCGAUAUGAAGUGCGAUAUGACCAAAGAACUUGGGGUACAAAUUCUGGCCAACAGCCUUUAGCUUUGUCCAAGCUGGUUUUCAAAGUGCGCUUGAUUAUUUUGUUGAUGGCCUCAACUUGUCCAUUAGACUGGGGAUGAGCUGGAGAGGCAAAGCAUAAGUUGAUGUUGAACUUAGAGCAGAACAACCUGAACCUCUUGUUGUCAAACUGUCGCCCAUUGUCAGUGACUAUCGCAUUGGGAAUGCCGAAUCUACAAAGGAUGUUCUUCCACACGAAGUCUUCUAUCUUUGCCUCAGUAAUGGUUGCCAAGGGUUCUACUUUGGCCCACUUUGUGAAGUAGUCCACUGCAACGACUGCGUAACAGACUUUUGCCCUUCCCUGCCGGCAUUGGGCCGAUCAAAUCAAGUCCCCACUGGGCGAAGGGCCAAGGGCUGAUCAUAGGAGUAAGAGGCUCUGGAGGGGAAUGAGGAAUAGUCGCAUAUCGUUGACAUUUGUCACAUGAGCGGGAUACUUUGAUGGCAUCCUGGUGGAGUGUUGGCCAGUAAUAUCCUUGGCGAAAAGUCUUGUGUGCUAGGGACCGAGAUCCAGCAUGAUCUCCACAGACUCCCUCAUGUAUUUCCCGAAGGACGAUUUCCGCCUCGGCAGGCGUAAGACACCUUAAGUAUGGCAGGCUAAAACCUCGCUUAUAGAGUUGAUCAUUGAUGAUCAGGUAGCGGGUAGACUUGUAUCGAAUUUGCUUAGCCUGGACUUUAUCAUUUGGGAGGGUGCCAUGAGCAAGGAAAUUAUAGAUCAGGGUGAUCCAACUAUCCCCCUGUUGUAAGUUGCAUACUUCUGCGGCCAUGGUGCUUGGUGUUGCCAAACAGUUCGACAUGAAUUUUUCUUCCAAUCUUGUCUUCCACAGCCGAGGCGAGGCGAGCCAGGGCGUCUGCAUGACUGUUUGCCGCUCGAGGAACUUGGGUGAUCUGGUAGUGGAAGUGUUUGAGCAAAAGUUGUGUUUGCGCAAGAUAUGCUGCCAUGGAGCUGUCCUUAGCAUCAAAGUUGUUGGUAACCUGGUUGACCACCAAUUGGGAGUCACUGAAAAUAUCAAUUUGUUUAACCCCGAGGUGUUUGGCCAAACGUAAUCCUGCUAGAAGGGCUUCAUACUCGGCCUCAUUAUUUGAUGCCUUGAAUUUGAAACGAAGAGCAUACUCCAUUGCUACUUUGUCGGGUGUAGUCAAGACUAGUCCCGCUCCACAGCCCUGUUGGUUGGAUGAGCCAUCAACAUACAGACUCCAUGCUGGGGUUGUUGGUUCUAUCUUCUGAGCUUCCGGGGGUAAUGAAGCCACUGCUUCAGGUGUAGAAGCAAUGUCAACCGGAUAUGUGAAGUCGGCAAUGAAGUCUGCCACUGCUUGGCCCUUCUCAGCUGGCUUUGGUUGGUAGGAGAUGUCAAACUCACCCAACGCUAUUGCCCAUUUGAUCAUUCGCCCUGAAGUGUCAGGACUUUGGAGUAUCUGUCGAAGAGGAUAAUUGGUAAGCACGAUGAUGGAGUGCGCUUGGAAGUAAGGGCGGAGUUUUCGAGCAGACAUGACCAAUGCCAGAGCCAAUUUCUCAAUGUUGGGACUACUGUUUAUACCAUAUUUAGGGCCUCGUAUAUUUGGGCCUUGGGCCUUAUAUUUAGGCCUCACACUAAAGCCCAUACUUUGUAAAAGAGGAGGAGCCCCUUAUUCUAUAAAAGGGGACUCCUACCCUCAUUCUAGAAAAAAAAGAGCCAAGCCUAAGAAGGCUAAGAGAAGCUCUCAUUACAUUCAGGAGAGACCUCACACCACCGAGGCUCUCAUCUCCCUUCUCUUCUUUCUCUGGGGGACUUCCCCCAAACACUUGUAUCCAUACACUUACAGAGAAACAGAAUCAACUACAGUGUGGACGUAGCCCAAACAUUGGGGUGAACCACGAUAAAAUCCUUGUGUUCUUCGUGUUCUUGAGCGUUUGUGCAGAUUCACGGUCGGAUUUACGUUGUUCCAAGACCAUCCGGUUUUGUGCAUCAACAUUUGGCGCCGUCUGUGGGAAUCGACACGAAAAGCUGUGUCGGUUUCUCUCUCAUUUUUUCACCUCCGCCGUGGAUUUGCAAAAUUCGCAGAAACCAAGAAUCCAAAACUUCCAUUGAAGUGUUUGCUUUUCUUCAAGUUCUUGACAUCAGUAGCAAUUGGGGUGCUUUUAUUCAGUGUCCUGUUUCUUAUGCUGCGCCACAACAUGAAAAGUCUCCAUUACCAAAGAUUCAGUGAGUCAACAAGUAUAACUCAGCCGAGUCAGUCCAAUUUUCAGAGCAAACGACUAGAUCCACUUCUACAACCCAGCCCCAAGGCUCAAAAUGCUCAAAGAUUACAAAUUUACGGUAAUAAUCGCAUGGAAAGUCAGUCCAAUCGAAGACCCAGAACCACUGACACUCACACAGAGAACCACCACGCAGUCAAUGGCGGACGACGAGCAGGCGACGGCGAUCACCAGUAGGCGACGGAAUCGAGGACCAGAGGCGUCGACCCGUGCCGGAGCCCUCGAAUGCCUCAAAACUCUCUGUCAUGGCGGUCGCCGAUCUGAAACUGGCGGGUUUCCAAAUGGAGGACCGAAUCUGCGACACUGUCGGAGACGACGAGUACGACGCAGUCGUUGCCAAACGACGGGAAGAGGUCCGAGGCUCCAUCGUAGACGACAACGGCCUAGGGUACUGCGAUGAGAGCGAGGAAGAAUGACAUUUCGGGGAUUGGGAAGGCGUUGUAUCAGAAUUUCUCGAAGAAGAAGCAGCGCCUCUAGGUUGUUUCAGUGCUCAAUUUAGUUGGUCAGAAGGAGGGUCCACCGUCGAUCGGAGAGGAGCCUGAGCCCAAGAGCGAGAGCAAUGUCAGUAGGCUCUUGGCAAAGCUGGGGAGGAUCAUGUACAUAUGAUUGUAUCGGAGGAGCAGGGGUGUCAGGAUGCUACACACCAAAACGGCGUCGUCCGUUUCCAGCUUCAAUGGCGGUGAAGUACGAGUGCUGCACCAGUAGAUUCUUCAUUCACAUAGUGGUCAUCAUACUACUAAUGCUGCUCACGGUGCUAAUGUCCGAGCUCACCUUGGGCCUCAUGUCCAUGAGCCUCGUCGAUCUCGAAGUCCUCGCCAAGUUUGGGAUGCCGAAGGAUCACAGGCACGCCUCGCAUCCAGCACCACCGAAGGGCAAGUAACAAUGGUUGAUCAGGUUCAACAUCCCUCUGUCAUCCAUAAGGUCGCGGUUCAGUCCGUCGUUUCCAAUAUCUCCGUUCUUGAGCAGCUCAAGACUUUUGCAGAUGACAGAAUGAUGAACUUGACACUGAGAUAAGAUUCCUCCUUUUUUAUUUUACUUUGUCAUCAUUACGUGUCCCACCCAUGAACAGGACUCCAUUUCUGUUGUCAUCAUUACGUGUCCGACCUCCAAGCAUUUUAUGAUCUUUCUGAUGUUUUCCCUAAUAUGGGAGUAUGAGUAAGAUAUUUUGCUGUCUGGUAAAGUUUUGAAGGAGCAAGGUAACACCACCGACAACGAAAAUGGUGAGAACGUGCUAGAGUCGGAGGACCCCAUAAUCAAGAAAAGCAGAAAAGCAGUGGGGAACAAAGCAGAAAAGAGAAAGCAAAAAACAAAAGCAGAAAGCAAAAGAGAAAAACAAAAGAUUUUUCUAUUAUUAUGAUUUCUUCUGUCUACCAGGUGAAGAUAUAGAGAGAGGGCAGCAGAAAAACACUGCAAAAGCAAGGAAUAAACACCUCACCCGAAUGAUGUAAUUUAUUUUUAUCUUUUGGAGACAUCUGUAUAAACCCCAUCAGAGGGUAAUAUGUAUAAACCCCAUCAGAGGGUCAAAAAAAAAAAAAAAAAAAAAAGGAAAAGCCCAAAACAAAUGGGCUGACAUGUUGUGGAGGGCAAAGGCCCAUAGGCCUGAAAUAGCACCAACCAGGUCAUCAAAAGUACGCCCAGUACUCCGCAAUUAUUCGGCAACCCGCCGUUAUUACCACCAACCAGGUGAUCAAAAGUACCCCCAGUACUCCACAAUUAUUCGGCAACUCGCCGCUAUUACCACCAACCAGGUGAUCAAAAGUACGCCCAGUACUUCAAGUCAUACAUGAGCAUUACUCAUGUCAAUCAUACAUAAACAUUCAUGAGCAUCACUCAUCCAAUCAUACAUAAACAUUCAUGAGCAUCACUCAUGUCAACAUUCAUGAGCAUCACUCAUGUCAACAUCCAUGAGCAUCACUCAUGUCAAUCAACAUAAACAUCCAUAAGCAUCACUCAUGUCAACAUCCAUGAGCAUCACUCAUGUCAAUCAACAUAAACAUGCAUGAGCAUCACUCAUGUCAAAUCAGCUUCAAAGACUUCAUUUACAGAGCUCUAGCUUCAAAAGCUUCAUUCACAAGAGCUCUAGCUUCAAAAGCUUCAUUUACAGAGCUCUAGCUUCAAAAGCUUCAUUUACAAGAGCUCUAGCUUCAAAAGCUUCAUUUACAAGAGCUCUAGCUUCAAAGACUUCAUUUACAGAGCUCUAGCUUCGAAAGCUUCAUUUACAAAAGCUCUAGCUUUCAAAGACUUCAUUUACAGAGCUCUAGCUUCAAAAGCUUCAUUUACAAAAGCUCUAGCUUUAAAAGCUUCAUUUACAGAGCUCUAGCUUAAAAGCUUCACUUGCAAAGCUUCACCUACAAAGCUUCACCUACAAAGCUUCAGUGCAGGGUAUACAAAUACCGCCUCCGAACAACCGCCACUUCGGCCCAUACAUGGAUUCAAUUUGAAGUCUCCAGCCAACAGACUCUAUUGACCGAAGACUUGGGGGACUACAUUAUGUACCAUAUAUUGGGCCUCAACUGGGCCUCAUGAAAAAUACUUGGGGGACUCUAGCCCAUUAUUUAUGUAUUAAGGAGCGAACCCUUAUUCUAUAAAAGGGACUCCCUCACUUUCAUUGAAAGAUCACCCAUGAUUUAUGUAUUGAGGAGCGAGCCCUUAUUCUAUAAAAGGGACUCCCUCACCACCAUUAGAGAGCAUCGCCGCCUACUGAGCAACUGUCUCACUGCGAGCAUCAACUCUAGCCCAUCACUUAUGUAUUGAGGAGCGAGCCCUUAUUCUAUAAAAGGGACUCCCUCACCUUCAAUGCCACAAGCCGAGCCAACCAAGGCAACAUAAGCUACAAGCAGAGCGACCUCGCAACAUGUGCUACUUCUAGUUGAGCAUCAUUUCAGAUUGGGCACCGCCUCAUAUCAAGCAUUAGUUCUAGAAGACAUCUAGUUACUUCGGCCCACAUAUGGACUGAAUUUCAAGUCUCCAGCCAAAAGACUCUCUUGACUGAAGACUUGGGGGACUACUGUUUAUACCAUAUUUAGGGCCUCGUAUAUUUGGGCCUUGGGCCUUAUAUUUAGGCCUCACACUAAAGCCCAUACUUUGUAAAAGAGGAGGAGCCCCUUAUUCUAUAAAAGGGGACUCCUACCCUCAUUCUAGAAAAAAAAGAGCCAAGCCUAAGAAGGCUAAGAGAAGCUCUCAUUACAUUCAGGAGAGACCUCACACCACCGAGGCUCUCCUCUCCCUUCUCUUCUUUCUCUGGGGGACUUCCCCCAAACACUUGUAUCCAUACACUUACAGAGAAACAGAAUCAACUACAGUGUGGACGUAGCCCAAACAUUGGGGUGAACCACGAUAAAAUCCUUGUGUUCUUCUUGUUCUUGAGCGUUUGUGCAGAUUCACGGUCGGAUUUACGUUGUUCCAAGACCAUAAAUGUUGAUGCACAAAAUCAGCGAAGACUUUGGUACAACAGAAAGUGUCAGGUUUUAUGACCUUCGCUUGGUUGCUUCGGUCACUAGUGAGGAUAAGUACGUAAAUGAACAGAGACAGAGAAGCAAACACAGGAUGUACGUGGUUCACCCAGAUUGGCUACGUCCACGGAGUAGAGGAGUUCUUAUUAGUAGUGAAAGGCUUACACAAGUACAAAGGAUCAAGCUCUCAAUUUAGUGAGUUCUUGUGAAUGAUUUAACACAAAUGGCAUUAGGCCAUAUUAUGGGGGAAUGACCCCUAUUUAUAGAAAAACUUGUAGCUUUGUCACAUUGACAUGUGUCAUGUUAUGAUUGGUUCUUGAUGUUGACACGUGCUGCGCUCUGAUUGGCUUCUAAUCUUGACACGUGUCGAGUAGUGAUUGGCCUCCUGGUCGGAGGGGAACUCUUCUGGGUCCUUGACAGUAUAGCGUUGGCCGGUGCUCGGUAGUUUCGGGAUUGGUCAAGUAUGGUACAAACAGUUUCAAUAAAAAUUUCCAAGUUUUUCUUACAAUUUCCGUGGUUUUUAUUCAAUUUUUAUCUAUAUCGAUAAUAUCUCAAUAUUUCCAUUGAAAUUUCUGUGUUUUUGGACUACCGAUAUUUCCGAUAUCAUCGAUAUUUUAUACCUUGCUUACGUUUCAAAAAUAGUUUGGCUCUUGAAUAUGCCCAACAUUUUGAAAUUUUUUUACAACAUACUCUAUGUGUUUAUUAGAUUGUAUUUAUUUUAUCAAGAAGUUAAUCAACGUAAAUAAUUUGAAACCUUAAUACGUUUGUAUAAAAUAUAUUGAGAUUAUUAAAAAUUUGAGAUGUACAUCCCAAUUUCGAUCCAUAUUAUUUUAGAAUUUUGAAUGUCAAAUUUCAUUCGAGUGCACCAAAAUUGAAAGUUUUUGUUACCAACUUGGUCAAAACUGAUCAAAAUCGAAAUUUCCAAUCCACCUUCCACCUGUUCCAAUAAUCUAUUGGCUUGGACUUUCAAGCCCAACACCAAUGUAUGUUGACCCAACGUAACUUUAGGAGAAGAAAAUGCCCUCCAUUCCAAAAGCCCUUCCGGUCAAACACGGUGGAUACUGGAUACGCAGGUUCAAACACGAACGGGCUUUUCCUCCUCGCCGAGUCCCUCCUCGGACCUCAGUCAAUGGCAGUCUCUCUGAGAAGACUUGCAGCGGCAUUCGGCUACUCGCCACAUCUUCAAUGCGUUCAAAGCUUGUUUCCGUUGCGCUUUGGAAAUAGUUAGAGUUCCUCUGUGUCGUAUGGUAUGCCCUGAACGUGCUUGUGAAAAUGUCUCUGAGACAACACCUGUCUUGUCACUAACCAUUUCUGCACCUGCUCUGUAUUUCAAGAUCAGAGGACGGUGCUCCGACCUUUCAUCCAGAAUUCCAACAAUGGCAUAACGGAGGUGGGUCUUUCCACAAGUCUGCCUGCAUUGACCCAACAGUGUUCAUAGAGUUUGGUGCUGUAGUUCAUUCAAAAUCCGUUGUUGGCGAGCAUGCUCGUAUUGGUUCUGGAGCUGUCAUUGGAACUUCGGUCGCUAUUGGCAAUCAACCAAAAUUGGGUGACGAUCAAAUUUUUAACUCGACAUUGCGACUCCACUAAACUGUGAUAGCACUUCUGCCAUUGCAAUCACUAAGAACCCUAUUUUUCACCAGAAGACUAAACACGUCAACAGGAGAUAUCAUUUUAUCGAGGAGGCUUUGCGGAAUGAGAUCAUUGACUUGGUGUACUGUUCAACCAAAGAACAGGUAGCUGAUAUAUUCACAAAGGCUCUUACCAAAGAUCAAUUCCGUCAUCUCAGAGAGCUAUUGGGAGUGAAAUCAGUUCACAAUUUAGGGGGAGUGUUGAUGUGUAAAUUGAUGAACUGAUAUGAAGAAGAUUACAAGUUUUGUGUAGUGUAAUGCUUCAGCUCAUAGGCUAAGCUUAUGUUUUUUUGUUUUUUUGUUUUUAUUGGAGAGUUUCGAAUUCUAGACUUAACAUACUCUUACACAUCACAUUACUCACACCCUCAACUUUUCUUUUGGCACUUUUUCAUUUCAUUCAUCUUCGAAUUAAAUGAAACGUUUUUUUUUAUUUUUUGGUUGCUACAGGUCCUGACUAAGCCUGGCAUUUUGGACCCAACCGGUUAACCCGACUUGACCCAACCCAUUAAUAUUUAUAUUUGGAUGAAUGUAUAACGGGUCAGGUCGCUAACGGGUGAACCAGUUAACAACCCGUUAAUAACGGGUCACUUUGGGUCAACCCGUUAGACCCGUUAUGACCCGUUAGACCCGUUAUGACCCGUUAGCACCCGUUAGUUGAGGAUAUUUUAGUAAUUUUAGUAAAGUCUUAAUAACAAAAAAUAAAUUUUAUGCAAAAAUAAUAAUAAUUGUUAACGGGUGAAACGGGUUGAGUUCGAUGACCCGUUAGCUUAACGGGUUGGAUUCGGGUGACCCAUUAACUUAACGGGUCGGGUUCAAUCCGAUCCAAACCCAAUAAACCCGACCCGCUUACAGGUCUAGUCCUGACUAUAACUAUCUUCAACUACAAGAGAAACCCAGUUAGGUUCGUUAACCUAAGGCCUCAUUUGGUUCACGUAAUGAAAGUGAAAGGAAAACGAAUCUGGUGUUUUUUUUCCUGCCUUCUAUGUUAAAAUUGCUUGGGAAGUUGGACAAAUAGCCUUCUUUUUAAAAUAAUAUGGCACAAGGUAAACGAAGAGAGCAAAGAAGAAUUAACACACAAGGUACGUUUUCUGAAUUCCUUGAUGAUCCUGAGGAUCUUAACUCACUGGGGUUAUUAAGUUUUUGUUUUUAUUUCAGCAAUAUAUAUAGCCACUCCAGAGCUAGGAUCAAACCACUUUUGAGCCCCCUCAAGCAGUACUCGAACCAGCCUCGAGGAAGCAAAAUGAAAUUCCAGUCAGAGUUAGUUCACCUCGGCGAAAUGAUGGAAAGAGUGAGCCCAUUUGAAGCAGGAUCAGUUGUAGACUCACUGAUUGGAGCAACUCUUCGUACAGCAAAUAUUGCCGGUUGCUUUGGUUCAGGAAGAUCUAUCGAUUCACUUCCCAGCAAUACAACCACAGUUGACAUUGUAGGUCUCUCUGCAGGGUCUUCCUGGACACACAAAAGACCAAUAUGCAUGCACUUCAAAACCUCAGCUGUUGGGCAAGUUUCCAUCAACAAGGGCUCAAUAAAUUCCAACUGUUUUCCGUCCUUCCAUAGCCUCCAUGCCUGUCAAUUAUUUAAACCGAAAAAUAUUUUAAUUCCACACAAAUUAAGAUAAGUAAUCAAAGUGGACAAAGAAACAUACAUAUGCAAGGAGUGUCUUGGCAUGUUCUGUGAGAUAGAACCCACUAUUCCUUUUCCCACUAAUAAUCUCUAGCAAGAUUACACCAAAGCUGAAGACAUUUGACCGAGAAUAGACCCUCCAUUGCGUACUCUGGAGCCAUAUAACCGCUGUUUCAAGAAUCAAGUAUAAGCAUUAGCAUGUUCUAAAGAUAAAUAUGGGAGCUGUAAGAAGCAAACUCACAUUG
Molecule: long non-coding RNA, 23034 nt
Filed under: Malus domestica (apple)
Lineage: Eukaryota; Viridiplantae; Streptophyta; Magnoliopsida; Rosales; Rosaceae
Description: long non-coding RNA (MDOM_LNC009756)
Source: RNAcentral